UUUUACUCUGCCUAAAGUCUCACUAUGAUGCUGUACAUAGUUAUUUGGAUCUUAACUCUUGCAGAUGUAACUCGCGCAGAAACCAUUACCCCUGAACACUCAGAAGUGCGUGCAAAUGAGACUGAGAACAUAACACUCUCCUGUAGUUAUUCCUCGGCAUACAGUCUCCUUUGGUAUCGACAGCAUCAUACAUCAGCUCCUCAGUUCCUCAUGCUCAUCCUACAAAAUUCUGGAAAAGUAAUACAGACCUCAGACGACCGCCUAUCUGGAAAACUGAACGUGGACAAAAAUCGUGUGGAUUUGGAAAUCCCCUUUUCCACAGUUAAAGAGUCUGCAGUGUAUUUCUGUGCACUGCAGACCACGGUGACAGGAAAUCAAAUGUUACUGUACGAAAACCUUACAGCUUGAGAUCACAUGUGUUUUUCAUGCUCAAUAUUCACUCUGAGUUAAGGGGAGGAGCUUCAAGCAGCUGUAAAGAUCUCAAGUGCCAUCAUAGAUGUGCCAGUUCA
Molecule: non-coding RNA, 509 nt
Organism: Carassius auratus (goldfish)
Lineage: Eukaryota; Metazoa; Chordata; Actinopteri; Cypriniformes; Cyprinidae
Source: the annotation of a RefSeq genome assembly